Exaiptasia diaphana is the source of this 494-nucleotide long non-coding RNA. RefSeq lists it as uncharacterized. The record is from RefSeq and is a predicted model, not a curated record. The transcript is spliced from 2 exons. Lineage: Eukaryota; Metazoa; Cnidaria; Anthozoa; Actiniaria; Aiptasiidae.
CGUCUCACGUUCUUUUGAUUUCAUGUUCAGAUCCMAAGUUAACGAUGCGAAACCAGCCCAAGCUAAGGCGAAGGUUGUCACAUCAAGCGAACCAGGACCAAAAAAUAUGAUGUCAACCGGAUAUAGGAUUGGUAUUCUUUAUACGUGAAGAGUUUUAAGACUAUGACGUCAUCAACCAGUGGCAUGACGUCAUAUUGUGACGCAAAGUGUAUUAUAACGAUUUAGUAAUUACGACAUUCAAGUAUUAGUUUUAAGUCUUGAGUUAAUUUAGAACAAUGCACACUGUGUAUCAACGUUUUAAAAAAAAUCCAAUGUAAAAAAUGAUGAAUUUUGCGUUAACUUCUAUGAAUUUAAAUUAAUAUUCUAUUGAAUUUAAAUUUGGAACGCUGACUUGAUAUAGCGUGUUGAUUGUACAUUCACAGUUCAAUGUAAAAAAUAUUUUUAAUUUCAAUUCAAAUGUGUAAGAAUAAAUAAAUGCACAAAAUUGUCUUCGA